GUUUAGGGGUGGGGGAUCAGUCUGGGCUGUAGGGUCAGUCCAGAGGGUGGAUAGUCAUUUGGUGCUGGGGGUCAGUCUGCUGUGUGCGGUCAGUCAGGGCUGACCCAGGGGUGACCUGUUGGUGUUCCUGCAGUGUCCCCGGCGCUGGCAGGGGCAGAGCCAUCGGUGCCACUGUCCCCAGGCCGGCCGGGCCCCCAGGCCGCCGAGGGGGCCCCAUUCAGCUGCACGUGAGUUAGGGACCAGUGUUCCCUUGCAUCCCUCCGUGUCACGCAUGUGCCACCCAGUGUGCCUCUGUGUCCCCCGGAGUGCCUUGUGCCCCACCCAGUGUCUCCCUGUCCCCAUGACCAUUGUCUCCAUGUCCCCCUGUGACCGUGUCCCUGUGUCGCCCCCCUGUUGCUGUGACCCUGUCCCCAUAGUGUCCACUCUCCCAUGUGGCCAUGUCCUGGUGUCCCUCUGUUCCUUCCCAGUACUCCAGUGACCGUGUCCCCAUGGUGUCCCCAUCCCGGUGACCAUGUCUGUGUGUCCCUCGCGUGUCUCAGUGACUGUGUCCCCGUGUCCCCAGGGCCGGGCGCAAGGACAAGGCCGUUGAUCCGGUGGAGUGGUCAGUGCGGGAUGUGGUUGAGUAUUUCACCGAGGCCGGCUUCCCUGAGCAGGCCGGGGCCUUCCAGGAGCAGGAGAUCGAUGGGAAGUCGCUGCUGCUGAUGCAGAGGGCCGAUGUGCUCACAGGGCUCUCCAUCCGCCUGGGCCCCGCGCUCAAGAUCUACGAGUACCACGUGAAGCUGCUGCAGCGCAGCCACUUCCAGGAUGAGGAGCCCCCCACGGAGCCCUUCCCAGCCUGAGACCCCCCCACAGACCCGCGGGGGUGCCCCCAGACCCGUGGGGGCACCCCAGUAUCCGGGAGGGCUCCUCCCUCCCCCUGCUGCUGCACACAUAGACUUUGGGGGGUGGGUGGGGGUCAGGGGCAUCCCACCCCUUUUUGGGGAGUCCCGCCUCACUUUGGAGGGGUUCCCAUCCCUAUUUAAGGGGGGUCUUGCCUCUCUUUAAUGUUCCACCUCUAAUUUGGGGGGGGGUCCUACUCAUAGUUGAGGGGUUGCACCUCACUUUGAGGGGGUCUCAUCUCUAUUUUGGUGGGGUCCCAUCUCUCUUUAGGGGGCUCCCACCCCUCUUUGGGGGUCCCACGUCUCUCUGGGGGAUCCUGCCCCUAUU
RNAcentral lists this long non-coding RNA (1206 nucleotides) under Cyanistes caeruleus (blue tit). RNAcentral describes it as "lncRNA (ENSCCEG00000006098.1)". Lineage: Eukaryota; Metazoa; Chordata; Aves; Passeriformes; Paridae. The record is from RNAcentral.